Long non-coding RNA from Seriola dumerili (greater amberjack), 364 nucleotides. RefSeq lists it as uncharacterized. The transcript has 3 exons. NCBI's taxonomy places the organism in Eukaryota, Metazoa, Chordata, Actinopteri, Carangiformes, Carangidae. The record is from RefSeq and is a predicted model, not a curated record.
CGAGAGGAGAGGCAGCUUCAGCUCUACAUGUAAAGUUGAAAUUUAUUGACACCAUGGCCUCAUCUGAUGAUGAUACCAUAGAGACUGCAGCCCUGGGAAGACCAUUCCAGCUUGGCACACUGUAUGACUGCCGGAAGGAUGUUCUUGUUCCAGGUGUAACUCUGUGGGAUCCAGAUCAGCUACAAAAGAAUACAAGUGUAACACGUCAACAUAACACUGAAUUCAAUGUCACCGCAUCAGAUUCCAUUGAGGAGAAGUCAAAUUUAUUAAACAUCUCUGGCUCUCUGAAGUUGAGUCUCUUGGGAGGACUGGUGAAUGUGGGAGGAUCGGCAAAAUAUUUCCAAGACACAAAGAAAUCUCACAA